RNAcentral lists this ribosomal RNA (268 nucleotides) under Licmophora paradoxa. Its description in RNAcentral is "partial Bacterial large subunit ribosomal RNA". It matches the Rfam family "Bacterial large subunit ribosomal RNA", at positions 420 to 691 of the family's 2925-position model. The record is from RNAcentral. Lineage: Eukaryota; Bacillariophyta; Fragilariophyceae; Licmophorales; Licmophoraceae.
GGACACGUGAUAUCCUGUCUGAAGAUGGGGGGACCAUCCUCCAAGGCUAAAUACUCGUAAUCGACCGAUAGUGAACUAGUACCGUGAGGGAAAGGCGAAAAGAACCCCGGAGAGGGGAGUGAAAUAGAUCCUGAAACCGUAUGCAUACAAACAGUGGGAGCGGACUUGUUCCGUGACUGCGUACCUUUUGUAUAAUGGGUCAGCGACUUAUAUUCUGUAGCAAGGUUAACCGUAUAGGGGAGCCGAAGGGAAACCGAGUCUUAACCGG